AACGAACGCUGGCGGCAUGCCUAACACAUGCAAGUCGAACGAGACCUUCGGGUCUAGUGGCGCACGGGUGCGUAACGCGUGGGAACCUGCCCUUAGGUUCGGAAUAACUCCCCGAAAGGGGUGCUAAUACCGGAUAAUGUCUUCGGACCAAAGAUUUAUCGCCUUUGGAUGGGCCCGCGUUGGAUUAGCUAGUUGGUAGGGUAAGAGCCUACCAAGGCGACGAUCCAUAGCUGGUCUGAGAGGAUGAUCAGCCACACUGGGACUGAGACACGGCCCAGACUCCUACGGGAUGCAGCAGUGGGGAAUAUUGGACAAUGGGCGAAAGACUGAUCAAGCAAUGCCGGGUGAGUGAUGAAGGCCUUAGGGUUGUAAAGCUCUUUUACCCGGGAUGAUAAUGACAGUACCGGGAGAAUAAGCUCCGGCUAACUCCGUG
This 433-nucleotide ribosomal RNA is filed under the name uncultured bacterium. Its description in RNAcentral is "partial 16S ribosomal RNA". It matches the Rfam family "Bacterial small subunit ribosomal RNA", at positions 29 to 507 of the family's 1533-position model. The record is from RNAcentral.